Molecule: unclassified non-coding RNA, 319 nt
Filed under: uncultured fungus
Lineage: Eukaryota; Fungi
Description: partial contains small subunit ribosomal RNA, internal transcribed spacer 1, and 5.8S ribosomal RNA
Rfam family: Eukaryotic small subunit ribosomal RNA (bases 1-73)
Source: RNAcentral
GCAAACUUGGUCAUUUAGAGGAAGUAAAAGUCGUAACAAGGUUUCCGUAGGUGAACCUGCGGAAGGAUCAUUACCGAGUAUCGGAGCCUUCGGGUUCCUACUCCCACCCUAUGUUGACUUAAAUGUUGCUUUGGCAGAUCGGUGGUUUCCACCGCCGGCCGUGGGUACUAAGGCUACAAACCUUGGGAGCUAUUUGGCUGGAGAGUAUCUGCCAGAGGAUUUUUAAACUCUUGUUAAUUGCAAAAUCCGAGUCUUGAGAAACUGAAUCAAAACUUUCAACAACGGAUCUCUUGGUUCUGGCAUCGAUGAAGAACGCAGC